CUAUUAGCCCAUUAUUUUCACUAGAUCUCUUUGAAAUUCCAAUCGGGUAUAUAACACUCGUACUGCAUUACUAUUACAACGAAGGCGCAGCUGCUUAGCCGAAACCCUAGUUUGUGAGUCUCUAAUUCUCCUUUGUUAUCAUCUCUGCUUUUCUCCUAAUGAAUUUAUCUAAUAUUAUGAGUUAAUUUAUUAGAAGGUAAGAGGGAAAAAAUGGCGGUGCCACUGUUGAACAAGAAGAUAGUGAAGAAGAGAGUUAAGCAGUUCAAGAGAGCUCAAAGUGACCGCAGAAUCACUGUCAAGGUAACUAACUCUUUUUAUGUUUUAUUAUUCCUGAUUUUUAAUGCUUAGAUUUUCUAUGUGCUAUUUUAGUAGGUUAUGUAUGAUUAGUUGAGGUGUCGAAGCUGAUUUGGAUAAAUACUGUUAUUGGAAAUUAAAAUUAUUGGGGAGAAAGGGAAAUUGGUUCUGUUUGUAGCCUUAGCGUUGUUUUUUUCUCUGCACAGUAAUGAUUCAAAAUACAUUUUUCCUUGUUUUCAGGUUUGUCCAUUUUGUAAUAUACUAGG
Molecule: long non-coding RNA, 560 nt
Filed under: Nicotiana tabacum (common tobacco)
Lineage: Eukaryota; Viridiplantae; Streptophyta; Magnoliopsida; Solanales; Solanaceae
Description: long non-coding RNA (NTAB_LNC018809)
Source: RNAcentral